GAUGAACGCUGGCGGCGUGCCUAAUACAUGCAAGUCGAGCGAACGGACGAGAAGCUUGCUUCUCUGAUGUUAGCGGCGGACGGGUGAGUAACACGUGGAUAACCUACCUAUAAGACUGGGAUAACUUCGGGAAACCGGAGCUAAUACCGGAUAAUAUUUUGAACCGCAGGGUUCAAAAGUGAAAGACGGUCUUGCUGUCACUUAUAGAUGGAUCCGCGCUGCAUUAGCUAGUUGGUAAGGUAACGGCUUACCAAGGCAACGAUGCAUAGCCGACCUGAGAGGGUGAUCGGCCACACUGGAACUGAGACACGGUCCAGACUCCUACGGGAGGCAGCAGUAGGGAAUCUUCCGCAAUGGGCGAAAGCCUGACGGAGCAACGCCGCGUGAGUGAUGAAGGUCUUCGGAUCGUAAAGCUCUGUUAUUAGGGAAGAACAUAUGUGUAAGUAACUGUGCACAUCUUGACGGUACCUAAUCAGAAGGCCACGGCUAACUACGUG
RNAcentral lists this ribosomal RNA (497 nucleotides) under uncultured bacterium. RNAcentral describes it as "partial 16S ribosomal RNA". It matches the Rfam family "Bacterial small subunit ribosomal RNA", at positions 28 to 507 of the family's 1533-position model. The record is from RNAcentral.